This is a long non-coding RNA of Mesocricetus auratus (golden hamster), 1606 nucleotides long. RefSeq lists it as uncharacterized. Lineage: Eukaryota; Metazoa; Chordata; Mammalia; Rodentia; Cricetidae. The transcript is spliced from 2 exons. The record is from RefSeq and is a predicted model, not a curated record.
CAAAAAAAAAAAAAAAAAAAAAAAAGUGGCGGUAACUCACUCAGGCUCAUUAACCUCUGACUCAAUCUCGAGGACCGAAUGUCACCCUCAGAGUCUCCCUGGCCUGUGUGAGUCUUCUGACAGUGGGAAAGCGUGCCUUCCUAGGAACACCAAGGUGCGUGUUCCAUGUCAGCCAGGGUCCCAUGUGUACCUUCCCCUCCUUCCUGCGGGGACCAGCAGAGGGCAGGGAGGUCGCACUCACCAGGUCUCACUUUCGUCUUUGAGGAAUGGUGCCUUCAGUCUGGCUACUGUAAAGGGAAGAAUGCACACAUUAGCUUCCCAUCUGUCCCAGAGCAGGCUGCACCACACACACCGGAAGUCCUCCGAGAGGCGAUCCCCUGCCAAAGCUUAAGAGCCCAUGCCGUUCCAUUUGGCAGAGGCAAAGCACUCUUCCCGGUUCCUCAGCCACUGGCCCAGGAAGACAGAGUCACAUUACUGAGGGGCAGGGUUGUCCUACAGCCCUAGACAUGCCCUCCCUCAGUAGGACACAGGACUUGUGUGGGGUUCUCAGGCUGCCAACCCGCAAGGAUGCCAUCUCUGUUAGAAAACUGGCUGAUGGAGUAACCAGGUCCUGACUGUUCCUAGUAAAAACAAGGUUGAAGUCCUACAAUGUGUCAUGUUGUUCUGAGGCCUUGGAAUCCUGAAGGACCUGAGAGCAUUGUCCAGGCAGAAGUCUCCACAAAGACUGUUUUGUGGGGAAAAAGCAGAGAAGACAAAGGACGAAGAAAGUGUGGUGACAGGUGUGGUGUCAGCACUGAAACCCAGCUCUGAGGCAUCCAGAUGCUGCUGCCAUCCCGGACCACUUUCUAGGACCAGGGCGAAGACACUGGACAUCCGCUUUUGUAAGUCAAAGUCAAUAUUAAAAUCAAGGUCAAUUUAAGCUGAUAUUCAAAACUAAAUGGGGAAGGGGGCUGGGGAGAAGUGUGCACUACUCUUGCAGAUUCGGCUCACAACUGCCUGUAACUCCAGCUCCAGGGGCUACACUCUGGUGCACAUACCUAUACGCAGACACAUCAUUAAACAAAAAUAAAAUCUUAAAAGAGCUAGGGAGUACAGAUAAUAUCCAAAACUCAUUCCAAAAUGAUUAUGUUAAAGCAAAGGAAAAUACCAUGUAUUUCAAUAAAGGGAUUUUUGUUUGUUCGUUUGUUUUGGGGUUCAAACUUAGGGUUUAGUGUGUGAUAAGCAAGUGAGCUAAAACCUUAGCUGGGAGGGGGAGAAUCUGACAUGUUUGGUUGUUUGUGCAUAAAGUCCUAGGACACCUGACAAUCUGCCAUACUUCUAGCAGGGACAGUCCAAUGGCUAGGGGGCAGGAGUUGGGAGUGGAAACUUUCUAUUGUGCAUCUUUUAAAAUCUUGAAUAUAAGCCUAUUAAACAGAAGCAAGUCCCCCACCCCACCACACACACGCACUCAAGCUUCAAGACUAGGUCCGUGGAAGGGCAGUGUUUAGCAGAGCCUCAGUGGGUCUGGAUGGGGCUUGAGGUUGUUAAGUUCUGCUCUGGACAACACGGAGAUCUGAAGAUUGAAUUCUUCCUCCAUUAAGAUAGAUAAAGACACUGUGGCCUUAAA